AGCAGCCGCGGUAAUUCCAGCUCCAAUAGCGUAUAUUAAAGUUGUUGCAGUUAAAAAGCUCGUAGUUGAAUUUCGGGAUCAGUACGUUGGUCGUGCCUUGGUACGUACUGGCGUCACUGGUUCCUACCUUCUGACGAACCGUCAUGUCAUUAAUUUGGUGUGGCGGGGAAUCAGGACUGUUACUUUGAAAAAUUAGAGUGUUUAAAGCAGGCUCGCGCUUGAAUACAUUAGCAUGGAAUAAUGAAAUAGGACGUUCGAUCCUAUUUUGUGGUUUCUAGGAUUGACGUAAUGAUUAAUAGGGAUAGUUGGGGGCAUUAGUAUUCAAUUGUCAGAGGUGAAAUUCUUGGAUUUAUUGAAGACUAACUACUGCGAAAGCAUUUGCCAAGGAUGUUUUCAUUAUACAAGAACGAAAGUUAGGGGAUCGAAGACGAUCAGAUACCGUGUAGUCUUAACCAUAAACUAUAGCCGACUAGGGAUCGGAUGAUGUUAUUUAA
This 494-nucleotide ribosomal RNA is filed under the name uncultured Glomus. RNAcentral's name for it is "SSU rRNA". It matches the Rfam family "Eukaryotic small subunit ribosomal RNA", at positions 569 to 1070 of the family's 1831-position model. The record is from RNAcentral. Lineage: Eukaryota; Fungi; Glomeromycota; Glomeromycetes; Glomerales; Glomeraceae.